GGAAUAUUGCACAAUGGGGGAAACCCUGAUGCAGCCAUGCCGCGUGUGUGAAGAAGGCCUUCGGGUUGUAAAGCACUUUCAGCGACGAGGAAGGGUGUUGUGUUAAUAGCGCAGCACAUUUACGUUAGUCGCAGAAGAAGCACCGGCUAACUCCGUGCCAGCAGCCGCGGUAAUACGGAGGGUGCAAGCGUUAAUCGGAAUUACUGGGCGUAAAGCGUACGUAGGCGGCGUGUUAAGCAAGAUGUGAAAGCCCCGGGCUCAACCUGGGAAUUGCAUUUUGAACUGGCAUGCUAGAGUCCUGAAGAGGGUGGUAGAAUUUCCAGUGUAGCGGUGAAAUGCGUAGAUAUUGGAAGGAAUACCGGUGGCGAAGGCGGCCACCUGGUCAGAGACUGACGCUGAGGUACGAAAGCGUGGGGAGCAAACAGG
This 426-nucleotide ribosomal RNA is filed under the name uncultured bacterium. Its description in RNAcentral is "bacterial SSU rRNA". It matches the Rfam family "Bacterial small subunit ribosomal RNA", at positions 358 to 776 of the family's 1533-position model. The record is from RNAcentral.